UACGUAGGUGACAAGCGUUGUCCGGAUUUACUGGGCGUAAAGAGCGCGCAGGCGGUCGUUCAAGUCGAGUGUGAAAGCCCCCGGCUCAACUGGCGAGGGUCAUUCGAUACUGAUCGACUCGAAGGCAGGAGAGGGAAGUGGAAUUCCCGGUGUAGUGGUGAAAUGCGUAGAUAUCGGGAGGAACACCUGCGGCGAAGGCGGCUUCCUGGACUGCAACUGACGCUGAGGCGCGAAAGCUAGGGGAGCAAACAGG
Molecule: ribosomal RNA, 253 nt
Filed under: uncultured bacterium
Lineage: Bacteria
Description: partial 16S ribosomal RNA
Rfam family: Bacterial small subunit ribosomal RNA
Source: RNAcentral